RNAcentral lists this long non-coding RNA (335 nucleotides) under Solanum tuberosum (potato). RNAcentral describes it as "long non-coding RNA (STUB_LNC009544)". Lineage: Eukaryota; Viridiplantae; Streptophyta; Magnoliopsida; Solanales; Solanaceae. The record is from RNAcentral.
AAAAAUAUUAAUUUAUUAAUACAACAUAAAAGUAAUAAAGGACAAUAUAUAAAAAUAUUUGAAGUAUUUGAUAUUUUAUUAAAUUAAAAUAAUUCUAAAUUAAUAUAUAGCCGCGCAACGCGCGGGUACGUAUACUAGUGAAGAACAAUAAUAAAGAAGAAGACAAUUGAGUUAAUAUUUAUUUUUUCCAAGUUUAUUUUAACACAUGACCAAUUUUUAUUGGUCAGUGCUGUCUAAAAGCUGCACCCACGCGCUUAACAUAGGUGAAAUCACGGACUCAGCCACGUAGGCCGAAAAGUGGUAAACAAUUAACUAAAAAAUAAGUUCAGGGGGGU